This 483-nucleotide ribosomal RNA is filed under the name uncultured bacterium. Its description in RNAcentral is "partial 16S ribosomal RNA". It matches the Rfam family "Bacterial small subunit ribosomal RNA", at positions 899 to 1397 of the family's 1533-position model. The record is from RNAcentral.
ACUCAAAUGAAUUGACGGGGACUUGCACAAGCGGUGGAUCAUGCGGCUCAAUUCGAUGGCAAACGAAGAACCUCACCAGGGUUUGAAACCCACACGACAUCCUAGGAAACUAGGCUUCCGCAAGGCGGGUGGGCAGGUGAUGCAUGGUCGUCGUCAGUUCGUGGCUUGAGUUGUUCCCUUCAGUGGGGUAACGAACGCAACCCUCGUUGCUAGUUUUACAAGUCUAGCGAGACUGCCCCCUCACGGGGGAGGAAGGUGAGGAUGACGCCAGAUCAGCAUGUCCCUCUGAUAUCCUGGGCUGCACGCAUGAUACAAUGGUCAAGACAACGGGUCGCGACGGAGUAAUCCUGAGCUAAUCCUUAUAACUUGGCCCCAGUUCGGAUUGAGGUCUGCAACUCGACCUCAUGAAGCCGGAAUCGCUAGUAAUCGCGGGUCAGCUAUACCGCGGUGAAUACGUUCUCAAGUCUUGUACACACCGCCCGU